CUGCAUUUGUCAGACGAUUUAAUAAAAAGAAACACACAUGUGUUUAUUAGCAGUCUAGUCAGUUUAGAUUGGAAUCUUGAACAGUUUUAAUCUGAUUUAAUCGAGGAAAACAGAGUGAAGAGACUAGAUGUUCUUCAAAUCUUGGCAGAAAGGAAUGAAAGAAGAAAACGCUAACUGGAGCUCAAUGGUUUACCGUCAGAAAGCAAUGAUUUUGCCCAUAACCCCAAAUUUUUCAGACUCCAUCCUCGUUGAAUCAUCAUCCCAGAGUGCUUCGUCAAAAAGUAGUAGACAGGAACAAUUAAAUCGUACUACAGUUCUGGAUAUUUUUGAUGACACACAAGUUUAUCUUUUUUAUUCAAAAGACGAAGUAAACUAUUCUUGGCUUGAUAAAGAUCUAGGUAUUAAAGAAAUUCAAAUUCCAAAGAUGUCUUCUUCAGAUUUGGUGAACUAUUUGCGGUUAGAAAUAAAGGGCAAUUACAACGAUCAUUGUAAACCUGCAAAUUAUCAUAUAGAUAUUUGUUCUUUCUAAUGUCAGUGACAACAAGCAAAGAUGUGGCAGAAGUGUGUCUUAAGAUUCUUUCAGAAAAAAUAUCUGAUAAAACUCAACAAUUCUGUAUUGAAGUGCCUGACCUACUUCUAGUCCUGAUGAAUUUUGGUACUGUUCAAAGCAAGCUUUGGCCUGCGGCUUCGGACAUUUCUUUUCCUCGCCCAUUCCGGAAAUUUUCCAUGAACAGUUUCGAUUCGGAAAAACAUCAUGUCCCUUUCCCUCGCUUUCUAUUUGGAGAAAAUAUUGUCUCUCUUGAGUUUCAAUGUGAAAACAUAUCCCUAUUUUUCCGAGAACGAGAAAAUUGGAAUGUGCAACCUUUUGCUAAAUCUUUACAUGGCCAAUUUUAUAGCUGGAGACACUUUUCUAACUCUCAAAAUCAGAGACAUUAUAUCACGUAUACUUGAAAGUUUUACAGUAGAGGAAUGGAGUGAACUUAAUUUCAAAAUGGGUGGUGGACAUGUUACAAAAUUUUUCCACAAGAAUGCAGAAAACUAUUAUCAAAUCAAUUACUAGAUGACCUUUUUAUAUCUUCCUUUUUACUCCUAUCAUUUGGGUUUAAAUUGUGACGAACUGACAGGUGGAUGGUGGCAGCAUAAUUGAUACAGGGAUCCACUCUUUCUUAUAGGCUAAAGCAUCUGACAGAAGUUAUCCAAAAUAGGCAAUUUGUGUGUAUUACGUUUCAGAUGGUUUCGAUUCCGACUAGUCCGGUGCAUCAGUGGGCCCUCUUCCGACAAACCCAGAUUAGUUUAAUUAUCAAUCAUGUUUUCGAAUUUUUUUUACAAACUGGCUAAUUGGUUUUUCUUUUGUGAACAUAUGUUGGUGGUGGACCGGAAAUUCCAGAAUCGGAUGAGAUUUCUGGCGGUGACAAUAGAACAGGAUGCAUAUUCGGAAGUCAUGGGCUGGCUGAUGGGCCCGCAACACGUCCAGCAGCCACAUUGAGACUCGGAAACGUUUGUAGGUUCUUCGUUGCCGACGUCGGCCGUCUUGACUGAGUUACAUCACGCUACCUGGACAAUUCCCGACUCUUCACUCGCUUCGACGACGACAAAGAAUUUUUCCGGUUCCAAAGUUUAUGGUGUUCCGUCGGUGGACCACACAUUUUGAGUCAUCGUUAUUAUGAUGCAUUUGCCUAUAAUAGUGAAGCAGGAGCGAUAACUGGGAGUAGCUGCCGGAUGAUUCUGGAACCACGAACUUACUCUUCCGUUUGGUGCGCCGAUUCGCCAAUUAUUUGUUUGGUCGUUAGCAUCCGCAACCGACUGAAACAUCACCGCAAUGAACCGAAACUAGGACGCUAUUUUGUUGCCGGAAGUAAUCAAAGAUAUCCUAUCGGUGCUGGAUCGUGGAUAGAAUCAUUCGUUCGGCUGAAGAAUAUCUCUUUCGAAUGACCUGGCCCAACAAUUCACAGAUCUCGUCCGGGAUCAACUCGCUUAUUCAAUCCCGCCAUAUUGGGAUCCAGCAAAGAAAACUUUUACUCCUCAGCUGAAUUUUGUCCACCAUUCAACAACGGAUGCCACUGCUUCUAGUCAAUCUGCUGGACCGUGUUCCGGCAGAUUUGCAUAAAACUAGCAAGUGAGCUUUGUUCUCUGCACAGUUCUAAGGAUUGAGUGCUAGGUUUUAGCAAACAAAUGUGGACUUUUCAAGUGUUGUGAUUAUCUUAAGACCAGCUACAAAUACUGAGUUUUGAGACGUGUCAAUAGAUGGCGUGUUGAUUGUGUUAAUGGAAUGGCGAUUUGCUGUCGAAAGUUAAGCUAUCCUUUCUUCGAAAAUUAUCAAUGAAUUCUCAGGAAGAAACAUGAAACUGAUGAAAGGUUCGUGGCUGUCGUGCUGCCUACCGUCAACUAUUUUGUUCAAAAUCUUUGUAUUCUACUGAAUGUGCCAUCGAAACGAUACAGAAUUUAUAAUUAUCUGCUGCUGUUUGUAUUGGACUUGCUAGAUCACCAACCCCGGCAUAGACUAAUCUCUCAUUUCAUCUUCUCAAGAGAAAAUUGGAUAACUGAUCUGUGGUUUCAUGUGCAAGUUCACUUAUUAUGUCACGAAACUUUUUCCGUUGCAGCCUAAUAUGUAUUUAAAAUAUUGAACUAUUGAUCUCCACUUAUGUCUAUCUAAUGUUUAAGAGACACUUUUGAGUGCAUACUGAUAAUUGUUUAUUCUUUUAGAUUAUAGAUGUCAAGCACAUUGAUGCCACAAAUUAUACAAAAUAAGGGGACAUUUUUCUCUUUUUAUUUACAGGAUCUAAACUCCAGGUUUCUAAAUUUGCAUGGCAGACUUUAUGAGAAGUCAUGUCCUUUCAAGAAAGUCAACAAGGUCACUUGUUUACCAACCUGUUGGCUGCUACCCUUGAAUCUCCCUUUUUACUUUCUAAAGCGGCCAUCUUAAUUUGAG
Molecule: RNA transcript, 2929 nt
Organism: Daphnia pulex (common water flea)
Lineage: Eukaryota; Metazoa; Arthropoda; Branchiopoda; Diplostraca; Daphniidae
Exons: 10
Source: RefSeq, a predicted model, not a curated record